This 578-nucleotide ribosomal RNA is filed under the name Phaeomoniella sp. 3 ICMP 18946. RNAcentral's name for it is "eukaryotic LSU rRNA". The stretch from base 221 to 374 matches the Rfam family "5.8S ribosomal RNA". Lineage: Eukaryota; Fungi; Ascomycota; Eurotiomycetes; Phaeomoniellales; Phaeomoniellaceae. The record is from RNAcentral.
UCGUAACAAGGUUUCCGUAGGUGAACCUGCGGAAGGAUCAUUAAUGAGAUAGGGUUCUUUGAGCCUGACCUCCAACCCUUUGUUAAAUCUACCAUGUUGCUUUGGCGGGCCCGCCCUUGGGCCGCCGGGAGUGUUCAGUCGCCCCUGGUCUGUGCCCGCCAGUAGCCAAUCUUAAUUCUUCUUAACCAUGUCGUCUGAAAAUUAAACAAAAUUUAAUUAAAACUUUUAACAACGGAUCUCUUGGUUCUGGCAUCGAUGAAGAACGCAGCGAAAUGCGAUAAGUAAUGUGAAUUGCAGAAUUCAGUGAAUCAUCGAAUCUUUGAACGCACAUUGCGCCCUUUGGUAUUCCGAAGGGCAUGCCUGUUCGAGCGUCAUUUUCAACCAUCAAGCCCGGCUUGUAAUUGGGUCCUUAUCGUUAAAGAUAGGCCCGAAAGAUAAUGGCGGUGUCAAGAUUGGCCCCAGGUGCAGCGAGCUUUGUAAGCAUACACCGUGGUGGUCAUCUUAACCCGGUCCUUUAACUAUUUUUCUAAGGUUGACCUCGGAUCAGGUAGGAUUACCCGCUGAACUUAAGCAUAUCA